GGGGGUGUAGCUCAGUAGUAGAGAACGUGCUUCGCAUGCUCAGGUCCUGAGUUCAAUCCCCAGUACCUCUG
RNAcentral lists this transfer RNA (71 nucleotides) under Camelus bactrianus (Bactrian camel). It matches the Rfam family "tRNA". From Rfam's summary of the family: Transfer RNA (tRNA) molecules are approximately 80 nucleotides in length. Their secondary structure includes four short double-helical elements and three loops (D, anti-codon, and T loops). Further hydrogen bonds mediate the characteristic L-shaped molecular structure. tRNAs have two regions of fundamental functional importance: the anti-codon, which is responsible for specific mRNA codon recognition, and the 3' end, to which the tRNAs corresponding amino acid is attached (by aminoacyl-tRNA synthetases). tRNAs cope with the degeneracy of the genetic code in two manners: having more than one tRNA (with a specific anti-codon) for a particular amino acid; and 'wobble' base-pairing, i.e. permitting non-standard base-pairing at the 3rd anti-codon position. Lineage: Eukaryota; Metazoa; Chordata; Mammalia; Artiodactyla; Camelidae. RNAcentral also lists the same sequence under 2 other names. The record is from Rfam by way of RNAcentral.